AAAGGGCUGCAGUAUAUUGACUGUACAAAGGUAGCAUAAUCAUUAGUCUCUUAAUUGGUGACUUGUAUGAAAGAUUGGAUGAAAUAUAAACUGUCUCUUAUUUAUAAAAAGAAAUUAAUUUUUUAAUUAAAAAGUUAAAAUAAAUUUAAAAGACGAGAAGACCCUAUAGAGUUUCAUAUUUUAUUUAAAUAAAGUUAUUUUUAAAAUUAAUAAUAAAAUUUAAUUUGAAUAUUUUAUUGGGGUGAUAAAGAAAUAUAAUUAACUUUUUUUAAUUCAUUAACAAAAAUAAUUGAAUAAUUGAUCCAAAAAUUUUGAUUAAAAGAAUAAAUUACCUUAGGGAUAACAGCGUAAUUUUUUUUUUUAGUUCGAAUAAAAAAAAGAGUUUGCGACCUCGAUGUUGGAUUAAGAUAAAAUUUAUAUGCAAAAGUAUAAAA
This 434-nucleotide ribosomal RNA is filed under the name Spinosuncus brevacutus. Its description in RNAcentral is "partial 16S ribosomal RNA". Lineage: Eukaryota; Metazoa; Arthropoda; Insecta; Lepidoptera; Crambidae. The record is from RNAcentral.